UCAAAGGAAAUUUGAUCUUUCAUUGUUGAGUCUAGGACCUACUGAGAAUAGUAUUUGCGGUCUUCCUUUUCUAAUUUUUCCUUCAUUCUACUUCCAUGGGGUCAUGAUAAGGAUGGUUCUCUGCAACAUGGGUGAUCAGUAUUGGAAGCACAGGAAUAGUACUCUGCUUGCCAGGUUAUGACUAUGCAUAUCGACGCUUAUGACGUGUUGUAUUGGCCGUCCUUCGAGAACUGAACAAUAUGUUUUGACUUCCCCUAAACAUAGAUUACCAUCAUAUGUCUAUUGUUCACUGAAAGAAAUGGCAAAUACAACCAAGUAUUAUUAAUAAUAUCAUUUUAGACCAAAAAGAAGCUGAUUAGAGAUGAUAUAAUAGGGUUGGGAGGGGUUAGUUCACUGCAAGAAAUUAUUAUUUUAAAUUUGGGCUGGAAGCAUUAAUCUUGCUCAUUUAGUAAUGCCAUUUUGAUACUAAGAUACAUGCACCUAUGCAGUUGAUUUAGCAUAUGCACUUGAUUUAUGUCAUAAUUGUGGUGAUGUAAGCAUAAAACCAUCAAAGGAAAUUUGAUCUUUCAUUGUUGAGUCUAGGACUUCCACAAGAAUAGUAUUUGUGGUUUUCCGUUUCUUUUUUUUUCCUUCUUGGGGUCAUGAUAAGGUUACUUCUUUGCAACGUAGGUGAUGAGCAGGAAUAGUCCUGUGCUUGUCGACCCUUUCAAUGUGUUGUAUUGGCUGUCCUUCGAGAAGUGAACAAUAUGUUUUGACUUCCCCUCAAAAUAAAUCAGCAUCAUAUGUGUCAUAAAGUCAUGAUUAGGAUGUGUUGC
This 815-nucleotide long non-coding RNA is filed under the name Musa acuminata (dwarf banana). RNAcentral's name for it is "long non-coding RNA (MACU_LNC004858)". Lineage: Eukaryota; Viridiplantae; Streptophyta; Magnoliopsida; Zingiberales; Musaceae. The record is from RNAcentral.